GUCGCAUCUGGCUGCCCAUAAAAAAAUAAAGGACACGUAGAAGGCAAAAAAAAGAAAGUUUAUUUUAAAAAAUCCAACUCACCGACUUUCGGAAAUCGCGUGAAAAUUCCAGAAAGCGCGUCAAAUAUAGAAACCUUAACCGCCUCAUCCACCUUAUAAAUACCCCCUCAAAACCCUCCUCUUCUUCAUUAUAUCUUUUAUGCUCUGUAUUUUGCUUCGUCUUCUGUCUUCGUCUCUCUCCGUUUUAUUUUCUGCUUCGCUGUUUUUGCGUUUUAUCGUCUUGCGUAAUUUGUGAUCGGGAUUCUGUUUAUUUGAAUUGAUGAUUGUAGGGUUUUGAUCGUUUUCUAUCUUGAUUGUUGCUGCUUUUCUUUGGAUUGAUCGGUAUUCUGUUUGCGGGAUUUGUAAUCGUUUGGUUGAGGAUUCAAUUUCGUUGAAGAACUGGGGUUUGAUUUGUGAUUUGAUUUAAUUUUAAUUAUCAAUUUCUACGAUUAUCUACGAAUUCGGUCGUUUCUUUUCUGUGAUUGUGAUCCUGCAGUUGCUUCUUGGAGGUUGAUUUAUUGGUGGUGAUCAAGUAGGUUUUUUUUGGUUGAUUUUAUUGCCGAAUUUCGUCAAAGGUUUGCGCUUAUUUUGAUGCUGAUUGGUUACCAAAUUUUUCGAAUUAGGGUUUUUGGUUGGUUUUUGUAGAGCAUGCAAUAAAUCGGUCUUCAAUUAGUUGAUGGUUGAUUUCGUUUCCAAAGAUCGUCAUAAAGGUUUGCGCUAAUUGAUUGGUCUGUUGAAGUGGUUGAUUACCAAUUUUUUCGAAUUAGGUUUUUUUUGGGUUUGAUUUUUGUUGAGCAUUCAGUUGCGUACUCGCUUUUGAUUUGUGGGUGAUCAUGUUAAGGUUUGGGUUAUCAAUUGAGGUUUGAUCUGUCGCGCUGAUUGAUUAUCAAUUUUUUCGAUUUUGGGGUUAUUGGUUGAAUUAUUGUUGAUUUCGUUUCCCAAUAUCAUCUCAAAGGUCUGCAGGAUGGGUGUUUAGUUUCCUCUAAAGCUGUUUUGAUUUGCCGUUUUGACUGGUUCCGAAUUAUUGGUGUUUCUAGUGGCAUAAUAUUUUGCAGAUUUUCGAACAAUCUAGCUGUCGCUGUGAAAUACUACCAAUUAUCACCAAAAAUCAUCCACAAGUCUAGAUAAUUUGGGUAAAAGUUUAAAUUUUUACAUAACAAAUUUGAUUUUGAAGUAGUUGGACUUGAUAUUGGUUAUUGAUUAAUUCGUGAAGAUUAUUAUUAUUGCAUAGUGACUAAUUUGGUUAAUUAGCUGAUACCAAGACUUACAAGGAAAAAAAUUACAUUGCGAGGAGGACUCAGUGGUUGGGUAUUUGAUUGAGGUUUAUUAGCUGAUACUAAUUUAUUGUUGGAAUUUUUCUGUCUUGCCUUGCUUGUUUGCUGUUAAAUUAUUAGUGAUCAAGUCGGUUGCCUUUAUUUGCUAAAAGGUUUGCUUAUUGUUGGAGAUUUCUAUUUGUUUGGUGAUAUGGUUGCUUCUUGACAGUUGAAUUACUGGUGAUCAGGUUGUUGUACUUCUAUGAAAAGGUUUGUCCUGAUUUGGUGUCAUGAUUUGCUUAAAGGUUUUGACUUCUUUAUUUUGCUUGUUGUUGCUUUAGCUCUUGCAGAUGUUUUGUGUAGGUUUAUGCUUAGUGUUUGAAUCGUCAAGUAGGUUAUUUGUUGAUUUCAUGGCCAAAUUUCUUCAAAGGUUUGUGCUUAUUGAUGAUUGAUCAGGACUUCAGGAGUGCUGAUGGGUAACCAAUUUUUAUGAAUUAGGGUUCUUUAGUUUGAUUUUUGUAGAUCAUGCAGAAGUUAAAUAAUCGUUAUUCAAGUACGUUGUCUGUCGAUAUCGUUGAUCAUUAAAGAGGUUUGCGCUAUGAUAUGAUAUAUCAAUAGAUUGGAUUGAUUACCAAUUUUUUUCGAAUUCGGUUUUUAGUUUGGUUUGAUUCUUUUUGAGCAUGCUGUUGCUUAUUGGCUGUUGAAUAAUCGGUGAUCACCUUGGAUGAAUGUAAAGGUUUUGCGCUAUUUGAUACUUGAAGUUGCUUGUUGGCUGUUUUAUAAUUGGUGAUCAAGUUGGCUGAAUAAAAAGGUUUGGGUUAAUUGAGGUUUGAUUAUCACGCUGAUUGAAUAUAAAAUUCUUUGAAUUUAGGGUGUUUGGUUUGAUUUUUGAUUAUCAGAAAGGCUUGCAGGUAUUGGUGUUUGAUCUGUAGAGCUGUUUUGAUUUGACGUUUUGUCUGUUGCUGCACUGUUUUUUGUUACAUAAAAGUGUUGCAGGAGUUAUGGGCAGCUACUUUUGCAGUUUUUGGACAAUCAUGCUGCUGUGAUAAUUACCAGUUAUCACCAAAAAUUAUCCACAAACCUAUCUUGACCAAAAAAAAUUGGUGGUGCUUUUUAGUGACUAAAAUGUCUAACUAACCUGACACGAGACUUGCAAAGAAAAAAUUGCCUUGCGGUGAGGACAGAAUGGAUGGGUAAUUUAUUGAAGUUUGAGGUUUGAUUUCUUUAUAAUCAGUUAAUUUAUUGGUGGAGUUUCCUUUGCCUUGACUUGCUUCUUUGCUGUUAAAUUAUUGGUGAUCAAGUAGGUGGUUGUUAUUUGCUCUAAGGUUUGCUUAUUACUGGAUAUUUCUUUUUAGUUGGUUAUGUGGUUAUUUGUUGACAGUUGAAUUGUUGAUGAUCAAGUUGGUGUUGUAAUAUUCUUUAAGGUUUGUGUUGAUUUGGUUUCACGAUUUGCUUAAAGGUUUUGGCUUCUUUAUUCUGCUUGUAGUGGCUUUAGCUCUUGCAGAUGUUAAAUGUGUGUUUACUUAAUUGCUUUCGGCCACCCAAAGUCUUGUGAAUUUGUUUACUCAUGUCAUGAUGAAGUGAUGGGCCUGAUUGUGUACAGUAGUAGGGUGUCAUUGUAUACUUGUAGAUUAAUUACUCGAACAUUUGAUGAUGGUGUGGUUGAGGUUCUUUGGUUCCUUGAGUUUGGGUGUGGGACUCUGAAGUUUUCUGUUUUAUGAUGGUUUAAUUGGAAUUUUGUUUGCAGUAUGCUGGCUUUUAUGUGUUCUAUUCUUGUUCAAUCAUGGACCUAAUUUGCUGCUUCUUAUGGAUUGGUCAGUAUAAUAUCUGUGGCAGUUGUGAUCUUUCAAAUUUAAUUCCGCCGAAGAAUUUGGGGUUUGAUUUAUUUUUAUGUUUGAAAUUUAAUUUCUAUGAAUUCCUCCAAGUUAUGUUUUUUUCUUAUUUAUGAUCAUUAGCAUCCAGUGGCUUCUUGGUGUUAGAAUCCUCAGUGAUCAAGUAUGUUUUUUUGUCGAUUUUGUUGCCAAAUUUUGUCAAAGGUUUGCCCUUAUUGAUGCUUGAUCAACUUGGGUAACCGUUUUUUUUGGAAUUAGGGUUUUUUGGUUUGAUUUCUUGUUGAGCUUGCAGUUGCUUAUUAGCGGUUGAUUAAUCGGGUGAUCAAGUUGGCUGAAUAAAAACGUUUUAUGUUAAUUGAGGUUUGAUCUAUUGCGUUGAUUGAUUAAAUAUUUCUUCGAAUUUGGGGUUUUUGGUUUAACUUUUGAAGUUUGGCAUGACGAAGAUGUUCAGAAGGGUUUGCUGGAUUGGUGUUCGAUCUCUAGAGUGGUUUCGAUUUUUAGUUUUGACCAUUGCUGUGUUGUCUCUUGUCGUAAAUUUUUUUGCAGUUUUUCGGAUAAUCAAGCUGUUGCUGUAAAAGACGAUUACCAAAAAUUACCCUCAAACCUUUAUUAACCAAAAAAUUUGGGUAAUAGUUUAAUUAUUUAUAUAACAAAUUUGAUUAUGAAGUAGUUGGACUAUGUAAUUUAUUAUUGAUUAGUGAUAAAUUGUUAGGAAUAUUAUUAUUUCUUAGUGCUUUUCAGUGACUAAUUUGGUUGACUACCUGAUAACUGAACCAUGCAAAGAAGUUUUUCAUUGCGCCGAUGAGGAUUGAAUGGUUGGUAUUUGAUUGGAGUCUGAGGUUUGUAAUCUUAUUUGUUAACUGUUUAUUGUUGGAUUUUUUUUUUUUUUUUUUUGUCUCGACUUGUUUCUUUGUGGUUAAAAAUAUUAGUGAUCAAGUUCGUUGUUGCGAUAUGCUCAAUUGUUUGCUUAUUGUUGGGGAUUUUGCUCUGUUUGGUCAUGUAGUUGCUCUUUGGCGGUUGAAUUAAUGGUGAUCAAGUUUGUGUUGUGAUUUGGUUAGAGGUUUGCGCUAUAUUAUUUUGAUACACAAUACUGGGAGAUCGAUUUCUUGUUGAACAUCUGAUGAUGGUGUAUGGUUGAUGUUAAAUUUUAUAAGCAAAUGGUUCUGCUUUUAGUUUUUUUUUUUUUUUUUUUUGGUCUCUUGUAGUCCUGUUUGAUCAUAGACCUAAUUUGCUACAUUUGUGUGGCUGAAUACUGUAAAUGACUCUUGUAAAACCUUUCCUUGCGACUUUAUACCCGUUAUUGUCUUCUUUAGGUAUUUAUUUAUCAAUCAUGAAGUAAUGUCUUGAGUUGUUAUUUUGUUGUGAUAGAUAUCGCCUCAGUGUUGCACGCUUGCUGGAGAUUACAAUGAUUCGUUUCUACUUUCUACUGUGUUAUUUACAGCUAGUAUGGCAUUAGGAAAAUUCAAUUGUUAAGUAUUUCUUUUUUGUGAGUGAAUUAGUUUCAGCUUCCUGGUAUGUGUGCUUAUCCUUAUAAUGUUAAUUUAUUUAUUUACUUUAAAAUUUGUUGUUAUUGUGAUUUUUUUUCAAUUAGCUUGUGGUGUGAAGCAUUUGGCAAUUCUCAUGGUCAGUGAUGGUUGGUAAGAGAUGAUUUAAGGUGUAGACUGUAGAACCAGUUUCUUAGCCUGCUAAUGUCUUCGUGACUCCUAGUGUGCUUCAUGAAUUACUCAAAUGUUUUUAAUGUUUAUGAAGGUAUGUGAUAGUUUGUGGCAGACUAAAGAAUUUUAUCACUUAUAAUUUUGGUAUGAUUCAUUUAAUUAUUUGCUGGAGUAUUUUUUAUUUUUUUUGUAUGUUUUUAAUUGCAUAUUUCUAUGUAGUUUUAGAGUUAACUUGGAAGUGGAGAACUUUGUUUUUCUUGCAGACACUGCACUAUUUUAAAAAAUUGAUGGUUUGAUACACUUUACGAAAGCAGUCAGGUUUUGCUUGUGCUUUGAUGGUUUUAAGAUGUGUGGUAUUUUGUAUCUCAGAAGUGCCUGUGUUUGCUUGUGAUUACACAGAUUGAUUUCUACUCUUUCCAAGUGAUGUGGUAUUGGAUUUAUUUCGUGAAUGCUAACAUUGUGUUGCGACUUUUUUUUUUUUUGUCAAUUUCUAAUUUCUGCAUUCUGAUGUGGUGAUAUACGCUUAUUGUCUUUCUUUGAUUUUAACUUGCGUGGUAUUAGCUUGUGUAGUGAAGCAUUAGGUGUAAGUCGAAGUGGUAUAGUGCACUGCAGAUUUAAGUGUUUUUCAGGUAGACUCCUCCUUUUGAAGGUGGUAGUGUUAUUCGUGUACCACGAUGUCUUUUGGCUUGCUCUAAAUUUGUUAUUUUCCUUAAGAGGGGGGGGGGGGGUAAGUGGUUUGGGGACCUCAUGACAUAUUUGGUGUUGUAUUUAUGUUCUGUAACUUAAAUUUCAUUUUUGUUAUGCGUUUUGUUUAUAAUUGGUUUGUUGUGAAGCAUUUGGCAGUACUCAUAGUCGGUGAUCAUGAUUGAUUAUAGGUAUCCAACUGUCGAGGUAGUUACUUUUCUUGAUGCCUUUUCUUUAGUCCUUGACUCCUUGUAUUCUACAUAGAUUUGCUUGGCUUACAUAUUAUUAGUGUUUUGUAUAUGUCCAACUGAACAAUUUUAUGUUAAUAAAUUUUCCUGUUUGCCCUUUUUCUGUAUGUGUGUGCGUGUGUUAAUAAUAAUAAAUGCAGAGUUUUGUGGUUUGUUUCUAGUGCAGAUACCACACUUUUUGGUAGAAUUUGAUGGAGUUAUACUUAAAAGAAUUUUAUGAUUGGUAAUAUAUCAAUAUGGCUGUAUGCCUGUAUUAUUUUAGUUUUAAAUUUUAUUUUCGCAUAGUUUUAAGUGACUGCUGGAGUUGAGUGAAUGGAAGUGGAGAAUUUUGUUGUUUGUUUGUUCUUGCAGAUUUACAGUCAUAAGUUUUGGAUAAUCUGAUUCCUUCUUCACAUCUGUGGUGACCUGUAUUCUUCCUAUUAUCAAUUGUCUUACUUUUGGCAAUCACACCUAAAUGACAGAAAAGAAUUGACAAAGUUCUAUUA
Molecule: long non-coding RNA, 6196 nt
Organism: Chenopodium quinoa (quinoa)
Lineage: Eukaryota; Viridiplantae; Streptophyta; Magnoliopsida; Caryophyllales; Amaranthaceae
Exons: 2
Source: RefSeq, a predicted model, not a curated record